GACGAACGCUGGCGGCGUGCCUAAUACAUGCAAGUCGAACGCUUCUUUUUCCACCGGAGCUUGCUCCACCGGAAAAAGAGGAGUGGCGAACGGGCGAGUAACACGUGGGUAACCUGCCCAUCAGAAGGGGAUAACACUUGGAAACAGGUGCUAAUACCGUAUAACAAUCGAAACCGCAUGGUUUUGAUUUGAAAGGCGCUUUCGGGUGUCGCUGAUGGAUGGACCCGCGGUGCAUUAGCUAGUUGGUGAGGUAACGGCUCACCAAGGCACGAUGCAUAGCCGACCUGAGAGGGUGAUCGGCCACAUUGGGACUGAGACACGGCCCAAACUCCUACGGGAGGCAGCAGUAGGGAAUCUUCGGCAAUGGACGAAAGUCUGACCGAGCAACGCCGCGUGAGUGAAGAAGGUUUUCGGAUCGUAAAACUCUGUUGUUAGAGAAGAACAAGGAUGAGAGUAACUGUUCAUCCCUUGACGGUAUCUAACCAGAAAGCCACGGCUAACUACGUGCCAGCCGCCGCCGUAA
This 523-nucleotide ribosomal RNA is filed under the name uncultured bacterium. Its description in RNAcentral is "partial 16S ribosomal RNA". It matches the Rfam family "Bacterial small subunit ribosomal RNA", at positions 28 to 523 of the family's 1533-position model. The record is from RNAcentral.